GGCAGCGUCGGCGCUGACCCCUUCCCCGCCGGACGGCGAGAGAGGAAAAGGAGUGGGGGUGGGUUUCCCCCUUUUUUCCCCCUCCCUCCCCCCAGGAGCAGAUUUUUCUGGCCAUGUGGGUUUGAGAGGUCUGGUUUGGGGGCGUGCAGAGCAUCCGCUGAAAAUUCACGGGAGCUGAGGAGGGCGCGGAUUUGUUUGCAGCUCUGAAGGACAGAAGCUGGAUGCUUUGGCAGCGUUCCCUUUGAAUGUGGAAGAAGUCAGUGAUCCAAACAAAAUCCUCAAGAAAAAUAGAAAGAAGGAUACAAACAGAGAAAUGUGUGGUAACCUGUGGUUAACUCACUUCCUCAGAGUGUGGGAACACUGAGCUUUGAUCUGUGCUUUAUCUGACACUGAGUAGAACUUGAGUCUGCCUCUGCUUUCCAGGCACCAUCUUCAUCCUCCAGAAGUAAGCUAACAGUUCACUGAGGUAUUACAAGCCAACUCAGUUGGACUGCUGGACAGCAUGUGUGGUACUCUUGCCCAGUCUUGCACUGGCACUUCUCCUUCACUGCUCCCACUUCCGCCACAGCAGCUCCCAUGCRGCCCCACUGCCUCCAUGUGCUGCUCGCCAUGGGUGCUGGUCUCUGCCAGCACUGUGAGGGGCCCCGAAUUACCUGCUCUGCACCUGGGGCCAUCACUGAGGGGACAGGCGAUUGGACGCGGUACAGUCCUGCUUGAGCUAGCGCCUGAACAGUGGGGACUGAUAGCUACAACGCAGCAGGCACUGCUCCACCUCGGACUCCUCCUGAGGCCAUCCCCACAGCUAGUGCUGCCCAGGCCGGGCACAGCAGACUCCGAAGCAUGGGCCGAGGCAGUGCCUGGCACCAGCCACCUCUGGCCACUCACAGAUACUGCUGAGGGUCCCAAAUAG
Molecule: long non-coding RNA, 910 nt
Filed under: Dromaius novaehollandiae (emu)
Lineage: Eukaryota; Metazoa; Chordata; Aves; Casuariiformes; Dromaiidae
Description: lncRNA (ENSDNVG00000002069.1)
Source: RNAcentral